AUGCACAUCGCGGGCAGAAGAGUGCUGGUGCGGUGCGUCCUCUCGGCCCUCACGGCCCUUCGAGCUCCGAAGAGAUUCUUCAAGGACGUGGACAAAGCAAGACGGCGCUUCCUAUGGGCGCAGGACGAGGAAAUCUCUGGUGGGAAAUGUAAGGUGCGCUGGUCGGCGAUCGCCUCGCCGAAGCGCAGCGGCGGGCUGGGCAUCCAGGACCUAGAAAAAUUUGCCCGGGCGCUACGCCUGCGCUGGCUCUGGUACUCGUGGACGCGGCCGGACUGUCCCUGGGUCGUCUCUAGCACUCCCUGCGACGACGCCGACCAGGGCCUGUUU
Molecule: ribosomal RNA, 327 nt
Filed under: Triticum aestivum (bread wheat)
Lineage: Eukaryota; Viridiplantae; Streptophyta; Magnoliopsida; Poales; Poaceae
Description: partial small subunit ribosomal RNA
Source: RNAcentral